This 254-nucleotide ribosomal RNA is filed under the name uncultured bacterium. RNAcentral describes it as "partial 16S ribosomal RNA". It matches the Rfam family "Bacterial small subunit ribosomal RNA", at positions 524 to 776 of the family's 1533-position model. The record is from RNAcentral.
UACGAAGGGGGCUAGCGUUGCUCGGAAUCACUGGGCGUAAAGCGCACGUAGGCGGCUUCUUAAGUCAGGGGUGAAAUCCUGGAGCUCAACUCCAGAACUGCCUUUGAUACUGAGUAGCUUGAGUCCGGGGAGAGGUGAGUGGAACUGCGAGUGUAGAGGUGAAAUUCGUAGAUAUUCGCAAGAACACCAGUGGCGAAGGCGGCUCACUGGCCCGGUACUGACGCUGAGGUGCGAAAGCGUGGGGAGCAAACAGG